GACGAACGCUGGCGGCGUGCUUAACACAUGCAAGUCGAGCGGUAAGGCCCUUUCGGGGGUACACGAGCGGCGAACGGGUGAGUAACACGUGGGUGACCCUGCCCUCAGCUCUGGGAUAAGCCUGGGAAACCGGGUCUAAUACCGGAUAUGACUCCAUGACGCAUGGUUGUGGGGUGGAAAGCCUUGUGCGGCUGAGGAUGGGCCCGCGGCCUAUCAGCUUGUUGGUGGGGUGAUGGCCUACCAAGGCGACGACGGGUAGCCGGCCUGAGAGGGCGACCGGCCACACUGGGACUGAGACACGGCCCAGAC
RNAcentral lists this ribosomal RNA (309 nucleotides) under uncultured bacterium. RNAcentral's name for it is "bacterial SSU rRNA". It matches the Rfam family "Bacterial small subunit ribosomal RNA", at positions 28 to 336 of the family's 1533-position model. The record is from RNAcentral.